Long non-coding RNA from Ornithodoros turicata, 297 nucleotides. RefSeq lists it as uncharacterized. The transcript has 2 exons. The record is from RefSeq and is a predicted model, not a curated record. NCBI's taxonomy places the organism in Eukaryota, Metazoa, Arthropoda, Arachnida, Ixodida, Argasidae.
ACACGCAUUCAGGAGCACAGAAGGGAGUCUGGAGCUGUGGCAACUCUGCCAACGCGGUCAUCAACAUAUGGUGAGAGGCCAAGCCUUACAGAAGCAGUCGUGAAGCAUCAGGCAAGGUUCCAGAAAUGAGGCUCCCACCUGCAUCACACACUGAACGUUGAAACUAAGCUAAAAAAAGGCCCUUUUCAGGGCCACCACAAGGUUUAUGCAGAGACAAGCGUUGCGUUAUGAACCCACCAAAGUGCACAUUAUUGUUUUUGGUCCAGCUGCAUACACUUUUCUGAAUUGUGUUGCUGA